GCAAUGCGUCAAACUGGGGCGAGCCACUGCAAGGUGGUGGUGGGGAAGUCUGGACUCUGUGGCCGCGUGGGGCUUUGAGGAGUAACGAGGCGAAGGGCGAAACGGCGUGGCCGUUAGAGAAGCAAAUACAUCGUUUCUGUGGCCAGGAGGUGAUAAAAAGGCUGGCGACAAAUGUAGAAGGGCUUUCUCGGCUCUCCCCUUUAACCGAUGGAAGAUGGUUCAAUCCAAAAUGCUGGGGUUUAGAAGCUCCGCCCCUAACUGGGCCUUCCGUGGUGGCGGGGUCUCCAAGGUGCCGCCUAACGCUCAGAGGUUCCGCCUUCUCUGGUCUUGUCUCUGCGUCCUAAGACGCACUCAGCCGGUGGGCGGGACCCCUGGGCCCGCUUCUUUCUUGAUCCGCUCAGGGUCUGUGAAAUUAGGACCAUCCCAGGACAGCCUGUGGGAACGGGGUAUUCAUUCAGUCAUUCGUGCUAUAAGCAUCAAUUAGGCGCCUGCUGUAUGCAGGGACCUGAGCUUGGCUGGGCUGGGAAGACCAUACUCCCCAACCAGCCUCUCUAGACAGACGACCUCUUUCCUUAUUCCAGUGUUCCAGCCAUAGGAAGAAAAAGAACUGAAAUUUUGUUUAUAGGAGCUCAGAAAAUGAUCACCCCUGUCCCCUCCCCCGUUUAGGAUAGGAGCUGACAGUCUCCUGCGUGUCCCCUCCCCACCACGGUGAUGGUUGAGAGAUCGGCAAACGAGUCAGGCGGGACCAAUCAUUAUGCUCCACCUGGAACAGAAUGGAGACUGAACCAAUGAGAGUCCUUCUCUGGGGUUUUGGAUCUGCAGCCUGGGCACAAGAAGCCUUUUCCUUUUGGGUGGGUCCUUCCCAUAGGUUCUGGCUGUGGUCAUUUUCCCACUCUGCCCCCUAUCUUGAGGAACAAAGUGUCUAGAGAAGAAGAGAAUAAUAAAACUGACACAGUGGAGAGGUAAAGAAGAUGGCCGGGCGCGGUGGCUCAUGCCUGUAAUCUUAACACUUGUUACUCAGUCUCAAAUCUCAUGUUAAAAUAUGAUCACCAAUGUUGGAGGUGGGGUCUGGUGGGAGGUGUUUAGGUCAUGGAGUGGAUCCCUCAUGAAUGACUUGGUGCAGUCCUCACAGUAACAAGUGAGUUCUUAUUCUAUUAGUUCACACAAGAUCUGUAUUUUUUUUGAGACGGAGUCUUGCUCUGUCACAUAGGCUAGAGUGCAGUGGCAUAAUCUUGGCUCACUGCAACCUCCACCUCCCGGGUUUAAGCAAUUCUCCUGCCUAGCCUCCCAAGUAGUUGGGACUACAGGCACCCACCACUACACUUGGCUAAUUUUUGUAUUUUUCAUAAAGACAGGGUUUCACCAUGUUGGCCAGGCUGGUCUCGAACUCUUGACCUCAAGUGAUCCCUUGGCCUCCCAAAGUGCUGUAAUCGCAGGAAGCAUCAGGAGUGCCUCAAGGGAGAAAUAUCCUCUGAGAAUAGCCGCAGACAAAGUGGGGAGGUGGGACUACCAUCCCCAGCCCUGGAAACUCUCUCUACUCUGUAACUUGGCCAAAGGAGAUGCCAAAUCAGAGUGGCUGUUCGUUAGCACCAUGCUGUGGGAAGUUUCUUCCAUAGCUCCCCUGGGAAUGAACCCCUAGCCAGCUUUCCUAUGCUACUGGGAUAUCCCCUUUGGGACCUCCCCCAUUCGGGAUGGGAGACACUCUGAUCUUUAAUAGAGCCAAGGGAAACCUGGUUUUAAGGUGCCACUGAGUGCUAAAAAGGAGGCAGCAACCUAGCAGAAAAAAAGAAACCAACAGGUCAAUUACGAACAAUCUGUAAGCAAAUGGAGCCAGUAAAAGCCAAAACAAGCCAGACGGAGAAGACUGGAAUAAGUGACUAAUCCUUCAGUGCAAAGGCAUAGAUGUACAUUAACAACAAACAAAAGCAAACAGGGAACCAUGAGCUCCCCAAAUGGACAAAGUAAGGAACCAGUGACUAAACCUAACAAGACAGUAAUAUGUGAGCUUUCUAAGAAUUCAAAAUGGCAUUUUUAAGGAAACUCAGUGAAUUCCAAGAUGACAUAGAAAAGCAACUCAGAAAUUUAUCAGUGAAAUUUAACAAAGAGAUUGAAAUAAUAAUUAGAAAAACCCAAACAAAUCUUAGAACUGAGAAAUACGUUUGCUGAACUGAAAAGUUCAUUAGAGGUUCUCAACAGCAGAGUGGAUCAAGCAGAGGAAACAAUCAGUGAACUUGGAGAUGGGCUGUUUGAAAAUACAUACAGAAGAAAAAAGAAAAAAGAAUGAAAGGAAUGGAAAUCACCUACAAAAUAUAGAAGACAAAAUCUAAGAAUUAUUGGUGUUCAAGAGGGAGCUGAGGAGGAGCAAGGGGAUAGAAAGGAUAUUCAAAGAAACAAUGGAAGACAUUCAGAAAUUCCAAAUAUCCAGGUAAGAAAGGCCAGAGAACACCAAAUAGAUUUGAUUACCCCAAGGCAUAUAAUAAUCAGACUCUCAAAGGUCAAGAACAAAGAGAGGAUCCUAGAAACAGUAAGAGAAAAGAAGGAAAUAACACUUAAAGGAGCUCUAAUUUACCUGGCUACAGACUUCUUAAUGGAAACCAUGAAGGCCAUCCAAGAAUAUUGUAUCAAGCAAAGCUAUUAUUCAAAUAUGAAGAAGAGAUAAAGUUUUUCCCAAAUAAAAGCAGAGAGAAUUCACCACUACCAGAUCUGUAUUAUAAGAAAUACUCUCUUGAAGAAAGAGCGUUCCAGAGAGCUCCUCAAUCCGG
Molecule: small RNA, 2762 nt
Filed under: Pongo abelii (Sumatran orangutan)
Lineage: Eukaryota; Metazoa; Chordata; Mammalia; Primates; Hominidae
Description: retained intron
Source: RNAcentral